UCGAAAUGCAUUCAUUUAUCUGCUACUUUAAUUCGCCUGAAUUAAAACACCUUUAAAUAUGAGUUACCUGACAAGGAGCUUUGAUGCAGGAGGAAGCCAAUUUGUUUGAUUUGAUUUUCAAUUUUGUUUGACUGCCAGACAGGCAGACAGAGUAAAAAAAUUCUCACUCCUCUCUGCGCACGUGCGAUCGGGACAAAUUCAUCGCCAAAUUAAUGUUAAACUACAGGUUCAUUUUCCAAUUCACGUUCAAAGUAUAACAUUCAAUUGAAAUGAAGUUGUUCCUCAAUCAUAAACUGAUGUUUGUAGACAGACAGACAAAGUGAACCAAUUGCUUAACCACGCUUUUUGCUUUACGCAUGCGGAGUAAUUACAAUGCGAUUUUUACACGAGUUUGUUGCCUAAUAAUUGUAAUUAAAUAUGUAGUGGAUCACUCUAUAUAUAGCAAAGCAGUCCACACUGAGUUGAAUGUUGCGCACUUUGUUAUUUAUUGUAGGAUAUGGCCCUUCACGGUGGAAAGUUCAUCGAGUCAGAUGCGCGACCUCGCAGGCACUUCAGACACUCAGUCGGACCACAGCUAUGAGUCUUGUGAGCCGGCAACCUCAACUACGACUGACAUCUACAGUAACUUGCACUAUAUGGUCACCACACAAGAAGAACUUUCAGAAAGUAACUUCGACACAGGCAGCUCACAAAGCUGGCCAAAUGGUCAGCAGUAUGAAAGUACGGAAAGCAGUGGAUACUUCGACAUGGGUGAGCGGAGGCCACCAUUGUAUGGAGUUUGGCAGACCACCAAUCAAAACGGAGGACGAGUGUGGGACAUGCUGCCAAUGGAGGAUAUCUUGGAGGAAGGAAGUUCAGAUGUAUCAAAUGAUAAUCAGCCACUUUCAUCUCUUAUGGUGGCAAAAUCCAAUCAACCGCACGGCCUCCUCGUUUAAAACAAUUUAAUAACCAUGUGUAACCCCAUACUUGCAUGCAGUUGUUCAAUGUAGGCCUAUAUCCAAUAACCUCAGCUUUAUUCCAAUUCCACACCGACAUGCCAAAUAAAUUCCUGCAAGUCAAAGUAACUUUCAAGCCUUUUUGAAACAUUUUCGUUCCUCUUUGCCAAGCUUGCUUUGUAACUGAAGGAUCUUUUCUUUUUCACUAUUCACUGACGCCUUGAGCCAGGAAGUUGCGUAAAAUUGUUGUUGCUUUUUGACUUUAAUAAUUUCAAAAUAUUUCCCCAUAAUUUCACAUCAACAGGUAGGAAAGCUUGGUGUUGGCUCAGUUGUUAGGGUGGCUGGCUUGGGAUCUUCGGUUCCUGAGUUCAAGCGCCUGUUGGCUGUUGAAGUAACACGAGGUGGGGUGGUUAAUUCAGCCUGUGUUGCUUCUGAGGUUGGUGAAAUGAGCACCAGUGCACUAAUAAUGGGGGUAUUGCAUCAGUGGCAGCUUUUUUAGCUGUAUUGUUUUCUUUCCUCACCGAUGAAUCAUCAAUCUCAAUUCAAUUCAUUAAAUGCUCAUUAUGUAAAAUUAAUCAAUGUGACAGUCUGACUCCACCAACUUCGGAUGAGAUUCUGUCUUUAAUAGACCCUUAAAAAGUGAGUCGAUGAAGAAUGCAUUGCAGGCCUCAGACUUUUGAAGAAGCAUGCAAACUACCACCUCCCAGACCCCCCCCCCCCCCCCCCCC
This 1663-nucleotide long non-coding RNA is filed under the name Eptatretus burgeri (inshore hagfish). RNAcentral describes it as "lncRNA (ENSEBUG00000017344.1)". The record is from RNAcentral. Lineage: Eukaryota; Metazoa; Chordata; Myxini; Myxiniformes; Myxinidae.